GCCCUCGGGUUUGGGGCAACUACCGGAAACGGUUACUGAUACCGAACUGUUGUUUUCUUCGCCUGAAGGAAACUGGAAAGACGGAUGAAUCUGUCUUUGGGGAUGGGCCUGGGGGGCAUUAUAUUGGUGGAGGGGUAACGGCUCACCAAGGCGACCAGAGAGGCCGACCUGAGAGGGGGAUACUGCCACCUGGGACUGAUACUACGGCCAGGACUCCUACGGGAAUAUUGCACAAGGAAUCUUCCCCUGGGGCGAAACCCUGACGUGAGCAAUGCCGCGUGAGUGAUGAAGGUUUUCGGAUCGUAAAGCUCUGUUGCCAGGGAAGAACCCUGGGGAAAGUAACUGCUCUCAAGGUGACGCCUACCUGAGAAGAAAUACCCGGGUAACUACGU
Molecule: ribosomal RNA, 392 nt
Filed under: Bacillota bacterium
Lineage: Bacteria; Bacillati; Bacillota
Description: bacterial SSU rRNA
Rfam family: Bacterial small subunit ribosomal RNA
Source: RNAcentral